UGGCACACAGGCAGGGAACCUAUGCAGUA
Molecule: non-coding RNA, 29 nt
Filed under: Rattus norvegicus (Norway rat)
Lineage: Eukaryota; Metazoa; Chordata; Mammalia; Rodentia; Muridae
Source: RNAcentral